This 254-nucleotide ribosomal RNA is filed under the name uncultured bacterium. RNAcentral describes it as "partial 16S ribosomal RNA". It matches the Rfam family "Bacterial small subunit ribosomal RNA", at positions 524 to 776 of the family's 1533-position model. The record is from RNAcentral.
UACGUAGGUGGCAAGCGUUACUCGGAAUCACUAGGCGUAAAGCGCAGGUAGGUGGCUAGAUAAGUUUCUUGUGAAAGCUCCCGGCUUAACUGGGAGAGGCCAAGGAAUACUGUUUGGCUUGAGUAUGGUAGGGGUAACUGGAAUUCCCGGUGUAGCGGUGAAAUGCGUUAGAUAUCGGGAGGAAUACCUAUGGCGAAGGCAGGUUACUGGGCCAUUACUGACACUGAGCUGCGAAAGCUAGGGGAGCAAACAGG